UGUGGCAUCCAUAAUCUAUCAAGUGGUGAAAUGGUUAAGACCAAAGAAAACAAAUAUUUCACUCAGCAACGAAGUGGCCGUGAUAACUGGUUCUGCUGGCGGUUUGGGUCGUGAAAUAGCCAUCGAUUUGGCUAAGCGUGGCUGUCGCAUUGCCAUCGUCGACAUACAACAAACGUUGGCCGAAGAAACAGCCGAAUAUAUAGCGGAAACAUACAAUGUUAAAGCCAAAGCGUACAAGGUUGAUGUAUCGGAUCACAAACAAAUUUCCGAAUUACGAGACAACGUCACCAGAGAUUUGGGAGAUACAACAAUUUUAGUUAACAAUGCUGCAGUAUUAUUCUUUUCAAC
Long non-coding RNA from Musca vetustissima, 348 nucleotides. RefSeq lists it as uncharacterized. The record is from RefSeq and is a predicted model, not a curated record. The transcript is spliced from 3 exons. NCBI's taxonomy places the organism in Eukaryota, Metazoa, Arthropoda, Insecta, Diptera, Muscidae.